UACGGAGGGUGCGAGCGUUAAUCGGAAUUACUGGGCGUAAAGCGCACGCAGGCGGAUUGUUAAGCUAGAGGUGAAAGCCCCGCGCUCAACGUGGGAAUUGCCUUUAGAACUGGCAGUCUAGAGUCUUGGAGAGGGGAGUGGAAUUCCAGGUGUAGCGGUGAAAUGCGUAGAGAUCUGGAGGAACAUCAGUGGCGAAGGCACUCCCUGGCCAAAAGACUGACGCUCAUGUGCGAAAGUGUGGGUAGCGAACAGGAUUAGAUACCCGUGUAGUCC
RNAcentral lists this ribosomal RNA (273 nucleotides) under uncultured bacterium. RNAcentral describes it as "partial 16S ribosomal RNA". It matches the Rfam family "Bacterial small subunit ribosomal RNA", at positions 524 to 796 of the family's 1533-position model. The record is from RNAcentral.